Molecule: ribosomal RNA, 253 nt
Filed under: uncultured bacterium
Lineage: Bacteria
Description: partial 16S ribosomal RNA
Rfam family: Bacterial small subunit ribosomal RNA
Source: RNAcentral
CACGUAGGGCGCAAGCGUUGUCCGGAAUUAUUGGGCGUAAAGAGCUCGUAGGCGGCCUGUCACGUCUGCUGUGAAAAGCUAGGGCUUAACCCUGGCCUUGCAGUGGAUACGGGCAGACUAGAGGUAGGUAGGGGAGAAUGGAAUUCCCGGUGUAGCGGUGAAAUGCGCAGAUAUCGGGAGGAACACCGGUGGCGAAGGCGGUUCUCUGGGCCUUACCUGACGCUGAGGAGCGAAAGCGUGGGGAGCGAACAGG